GGGCAGUUAGCUCAGUUGGAAGAGCAGCUCGUUGACGUCGAGCAGGUCGUAGGUUCGAGUCCUGCACUGCCCACCA
RNAcentral lists this transfer RNA (76 nucleotides) under Anaerolineae bacterium CFX9. RNAcentral describes it as "tRNA-Val". It matches the Rfam family "tRNA". From Rfam's summary of the family: Transfer RNA (tRNA) molecules are approximately 80 nucleotides in length. Their secondary structure includes four short double-helical elements and three loops (D, anti-codon, and T loops). The record is from RNAcentral. Lineage: Bacteria; Bacillati; Chloroflexota; Anaerolineae.